This 1056-nucleotide long non-coding RNA is filed under the name Ananas comosus (pineapple). RNAcentral's name for it is "long non-coding RNA (ACOM_LNC037015)". The record is from RNAcentral. Lineage: Eukaryota; Viridiplantae; Streptophyta; Magnoliopsida; Poales; Bromeliaceae.
CAUCAACAAUGAGAUUUUCUCAUUGUGUGGCUAGGCCAAACCCACCGAACCGUCGUGUAGUCCCUCGCUUUGCCGAACGGAGUUGUCCACGAGUCUCAAAAUACCCUAAAAGUAAUGAGCGAAGGGAUACACAAGGAUUACGAACAACGAAUAGGUUAAACAUUAACCAACUCAAUGAAAGGGCCAAAACUCACCUAUGGUGGUGAAAAUCCCUCUCAAGCUCCAAAAAAGAGCUAAAUCCCUUCCAAUGCAACCUAGAUAAAGGUUCUAAUAAGAUCAAUUGGGCUUCAAAAGCCUCUAAUCAAAAAUCCCCAAAACAAACCCUAAAUACCCAUUUCUAGGGUUUGUAUACAAAAAUCAUGAAAAUCAUGAUCAAAAGGGAAUUAGUAAGCAACUAACCUCAAGAGAAGCUCCCAAUCACCCUAGAAAUCAGCUAGGGUUGAGCUCCUACCCUCCAACAAGCUCCAAACACCAAGCCCAAACUUCUCCCAUGGAGGAAAAGCCACCAAAAUGCAAAAAGAGAGCAAAAGGAGAGUUUAAUCUUCAAAAACCCAACAUAAAUCAAAGGGAAACAAAGAGGAAGAAAAGAGAGCUCCCUUACCUUGCUCUCCCUGCUUCCAAGCUCAGGGAACACCAAGGGGGGCGUAGGGGUAUGUUAUAGAGUUGUUACAAUAGCAAAAACACCCCUGCAGUUCGAACUAUUCGAAAACUGCCAAAGUGUACCGGUACACGGGAAAGUGUACCCGUACAAAUCCCACGAAAAUGCAAACCCGAGGCUCGGGUUUGAAAUUCGGCACAAGUGUACCGGUACAGCCAUCAAAAGUGUACCGGUACAAAAUGUGUACCGGUACAACCAUCGACAUGUCACCGGUUUCACCAUGUGUAGAAUGCAAUCCGAGGGUAGGCUAAGUCCAACUCUUUAGUGGCCUUAGCGCUACAUAAAAAUACUACAAUUCUCGGGAUAUGAGCCAUAGGUCGGAACACUGUCUACGACCCUCCAGAAAGUCUGGAAUAAACUCAAAACACAAAUCAAACACUCGAACCUUGCUAUUUGCG